GGCCAUUCCAACCAUGGUUUUAAAAAUUGGAUCGGACCAGUCGGUCAUGGUUCGAUUUGGUUCGAUAGGUUGAGCCGUCGAAGGGUUGGAUCGGCAUCGAAUUGGGUGAAUCAGCGAUCGGACCAGCAAACUGGACGAGCUAGCCAAUUCCCUCUGGAUUGCACGGUUCAACCCAUUUUUUCUUUCCCCUCUCAUCAAAAUGACGUCGUUUUGAUGCUUUUGGCCACGAAACGACUUCGUUUUAAUAACUAUAAAAGCUUUCUUUUUCUUUCCCCCGCCCCAGCUGUUGCAAACCCUACCCGUCGUCCCUUCCCACAGCCCAGGCUACCACUGCCAGCUCUCCACCCAGUCGCCGCUGGUGCUGGUUCCACUAGACCCGCUUGCCAUCGCUGCUGAGGACCCCCCCCUCCCCCAACUGCUGCAAACCCUACCCACCGUCCCUCCCCACAGAACAAGUUGCCACUGCCAGCCCCACAACCCAGGCUGCCACUGCCAGCCAGUCGCCGCCAGUGCUGGUUCUGCUGGACUCACUGGUCGCCAUUGACGAUUUUGGUGGCUGUGACCGUAACUUUUCAGUUUUUAUUUUUCUACUUUAAUAUUUAAUAUUUUUACAUUUCAUAUUUAAUAUUUAAUGAUUUAAUUUUUGUUCGAUGUAUAAUUUUUGUUGAUUAAAAU
RNAcentral lists this long non-coding RNA (675 nucleotides) under Vitis vinifera (wine grape). Its description in RNAcentral is "long non-coding RNA (VVIN_LNC007403)". The record is from RNAcentral. Lineage: Eukaryota; Viridiplantae; Streptophyta; Magnoliopsida; Vitales; Vitaceae.